AGCUUUGCGCAGUGGCAGUAUUGUAGCCAAUAAGGUUUAUCCGAGGCACAAUUAUUGCUAAUUAAAAAUAUGAAUAGGAAAAAGAAGAAAAUAGAAAAUACCAUCAUAGUCUAAUUGCCAGGAAUCACUACUUUUUAUAUUUUCAUCAGGAU
Molecule: small nuclear RNA, 152 nt
Filed under: Oryctolagus cuniculus (rabbit)
Lineage: Eukaryota; Metazoa; Chordata; Mammalia; Lagomorpha; Leporidae
Description: U4 spliceosomal RNA (ENSOCUG00000020368.2)
Rfam family: U4 spliceosomal RNA (bases 1-76)
About the family: U4 small nuclear RNA (U4 snRNA) is a component of the major U2-dependent spliceosome.
Source: RNAcentral